GAGCUUGGCGGUGUUUUAGACCUCUCAGGGGAACCUGUCUCAUAAUCGAUAAUCCACGUUAAACCUGACCUUUGAUAGCAAUUCAGCUUGUAUACCGUUGUCGUCAGGUAACUUCUUAAAAUAUAGUAGUUAGCUUGAGAAUUUUAUUAAUUAAAACGUCAAAUCAAGGUGCAGCUAAUAAAAAGGUGAAGAUGGGUUACAAUUACAUAUUUGUAAAUACGGAAAACAUUUGAAAGAAUGUUUUAAAGGAGGACUUGAAAGUAAUUUUGAUUCUAUAAACAAAAUGAAUGAGGCUCUGAAGCGUGCACACAUCGCCCGUCGCUCUCGUUGAAAAAUGAGAUAAGUCGUAACAUAGUAGGGGUAAUGGAAAUUGUUCCUAGAU
Molecule: ribosomal RNA, 382 nt
Filed under: Conus decoratus
Lineage: Eukaryota; Metazoa; Mollusca; Gastropoda; Neogastropoda; Conidae
Description: partial 12S ribosomal RNA
Rfam family: Microsporidia small subunit ribosomal RNA
Source: RNAcentral